CCUACGGGGGGCAGCAGUGGGGAAUCUUGCACAAUGGGGGCAACUCUGAUGCAGCGACGCCGCGUGAGUGAAGAAGUAUUUCGGUAUGUAAAGCUCUAUCAGCAGGGAAGAAAAUGACGGUACCUGACUAAGAAGCCCCGGCUAACUACGUGCCAGCAGCCGCGGUAAGACGUAGGGGGCAAGCGUUAUCCGGAUUUACUGGGUGGAAAGGGAGCGUAGACGGCCAGACAAGUCAGAAGUGAAAGCCCAGGGCUCAACCCUGGGACUGCUUUUGAAACUGCCGGGCUGGAGUGCAGGAGAGGGAAGCGGAAUUCCAAGGGUAGCGGUGAAAUGCGUAGAUAUUAGGAGGAACACCAGUGGCGAAGGCGGCUUACUGGACUGUAACUGACGUUGAGGCUCGAAAGCGUGGGGAGCAAACAGGAUUAGAUACCCCAGUAGUC
Molecule: ribosomal RNA, 440 nt
Filed under: uncultured bacterium
Lineage: Bacteria
Description: partial 16S ribosomal RNA
Rfam family: Bacterial small subunit ribosomal RNA
Source: RNAcentral